This is a non-coding RNA of Monodelphis domestica (gray short-tailed opossum), 9828 nucleotides long. NCBI's taxonomy places the organism in Eukaryota, Metazoa, Chordata, Mammalia, Didelphimorphia, Didelphidae. The record is from RefSeq and is a predicted model, not a curated record.
UGGUGCUCUAGGUCCCGAGGUAGCGUGCGCACCGCCCGAGUCUCGCGUCUCUUUGGAGCGCGUGUAACGGAGCGCCAGAGCGUCAGCCCGGGGAGAAAAGAAAAACCACCCUUCGCCUCCCCCUCCCUUUUCAAGAGGUGUUGCGACCGAGGGGCGUAAGGCGGGAAAGGAAACCCGCUGGAAGGAUUCGCUCCUCCUUUUCCUAUCCCGGUUCUGAACCCACCCAUCCCCGGGUCACUCAGCGGCCAGUGCCCGUAAUCUCCCCCUCCUCUCUGGGUACCGAAGCGGCGGGAGGGAGGAGGUAGUUCCGAGGAUCUGCCCCGAGGGGCACCAAGAUGGGGGAAUGGAGGCUUAGGGAAUGGGAGUCCGACGAAGGGAGAGGUUGGGGGAUGGCGCGUGGGAAAAAACAAAAAGAAGAAAAGGGGCCAGGACCUGGAGGAUCCCAUGAAGAAAACAGAGUAUGACCAACAGAGGGAGGGGACCCCAGUCCCAGGGGCAACUCGAGACAAUGGGAUCCAGAACAUAUCACAUCUCAGUAGAGGAAGGUAGAGUCUGGUGAGUAACCUCUGGAGGUGUUGAAUAAAUGUGUAGAGAAUGUUGUGUGAGAGUGUGGGGGUAAGGUCUCCUGAGUCAUCAACAUAUGACUAUGUGGCUGACCACUGGUCACUGGCCCAGGGGUUAUUCGGAAGGGCCUAUUGCCAAGUCGGACUAAUCCGGGGGAACUGCCCACCUAUUUCUGAGUGUGGACUGGGAAAGUACACAGUUCCUAUUUCCCAUGAAGGGAUAGAUUGGAAAUCCUGGGAAGCGUGUGGACGAAGGCUCUGACAUCCCUCUUGGCUACUUUCACUUAAGGAUCCCUGACUCCCUCUCCCUUGAAUAGGCCAUGGGAAGGAUUGGUUGGACUCGACACCCUUAAGCAGGGUAUUCUGGCCAGUUGAUUUUAGUCAACUUUAUUUGUGGGGUUAGAGUCCCCACUGAAGGAGUUAGAGGCCCUUGCCCAGGGUUAGAGUCCCCACUGCAGGGAUUAGCGUCCCUUGCCUGGGGUUGAGUCCCUGGUUCCGGGUGGUUAGAGGCCCCUGGUUGGAGUUAGGGGUGGUUAGAAGCCCCCUGGUUGGAAUUCAGGGUGGUUAGAGGCCCCCUGGUUGGAAGUAGGAAACCCAGUGGACACACUGGAGAAAGUGGGUGCGGCCCCAGGGGACACCUGGCCACAUUACUUUGUUUUUGGGACCACUCACCCCUAGCCCCUUGGGGUGAGUAGAGGAGCACAUCCAGCCCAAUGUUCAUAUUUGUUGUGUCUGUCUUGACUGUCCAGUCUGUCACAUAUUGUCCUGUCUGCUUUUGUGUUGGGAAAAAUUGGCUCUAAAUAGCUUGGGGGAAAAAACCCAAUUUCUUUUUAAUGUCCAUGUUACACCCUUGAUAAGCAAGAGGCAUGGCCUAUCCAUGGUACCCUAAAAUUGUAAUGCCAUCCUCUACUUGGGUGAUGGCUAUGCUGGACUUCUCCCUUUUCAGUCUGGGAAGCCUCAGGUGAAGAGUGGCUACUGUGAACCUUAAAAAUAGGGACUAGCCAACCCAAUUAAGACAAAGGGAAAAGUUUCCUCACAGGCCCCUCCAGUUGGGAAGAGAUCAAAUCUAAGCAGCCUAAGCGAAAAUUCAAUUGGGAUUUUUGUUUAUUUGUCUGUUUUCUCUCUUGUUAAAUAGCUGAGCACCAAUCAAGGGAAAAAUGAGGAAAUUGGCUUUUUGAUACCCUAAAUUAUACCACCAGGUGACAAUUGGACAUAUUUUGCAGGAAAGAGGGCAUAAUAUGGACAGAAGCCCCUCACCCUUUGCUUAGAUUUUAAGGCAAGGGCCCGCCAUCCAGACAGAGAAGAUAAGAAAAACUAGCAACUGGGUAGCUAUCAGUUCAUUGAUCAGAUCUGCCUCCCUCCUCUGCUGCAGGGAGGAAGAGGGUUGAUUUUGAACAGAAAGACAACUAGGAAGACCCCAGUCUCAUCUCUUACCCCACAGUUAGAGGCACUUUUCACUUAAGGUUAAUUCUAAGAGUUGAUGAUUGCAACUUGGGAGGAUUGCUAAUGAUUUCGAAAUGGUACAAAUGUAAUUUCAUGUAUUGUGGUAACUGUUUGUCAGUUAAAUGUGAAAUGUUAGCCAGAUUUUAUUGAGUAAACAAAACUCAUGGUUAGAAGUUUGUUUUGUUAGAUCUUGCAAUGCAUAAUGGUUUAAGUAAAUUUGAGAAUUAUCUAAAUGUGAUUGAUAGUCAGCCUGACACAGAGAGGGAAUGUUUUAUUCUGUAGGGACAGAAACUGUACUGGCUAAUUUAUAGAUGUAGAAGUCACCCAGAAAAAGUUAUGUUGUUGAGAAGAACUUAUUCUAGAAUUUAGACUUGGGAUUUCUUCAAAUCAGCUGUAAUUUUAAUGUAUGUGCUGUCAGAACUAGCAACAAGAAAUCAUAUGACACACAAGAAGUUUUUAAAGUGGUUAAUCUGUGCAUGGGAUUUAAUAAUACAAGUACUAAGAAUUUGGUAUUUUGCAAAAAAAGAUAAAUGGUGUUGUCUUUAACUAAGGUUAUAUGAAUUGUUUUCCACCCAAGUAGGUUACGGGUAUAUGAUAUACAUACUAUAUGUCCUUAACAAGACAAAUUUGACCAGCCCUGAAAUCAAGAAGGGCUUGUCAUGAGGAUUAAAUACAAUUCAGUACAAUACCUUUCCUCUACUUACAAUAAUGAUAAAGAGGAGAAACCAGAAGAAAUAAGAGUAAUGGAUAGAGAUACUGGUUGAUGCUAUGAAUUCUAGUGUGAAAUAGAUAAAACAAAUCAUAAAUUGGAAUAAUGUUGAUGGAAUUUAAUCAGGUAUGUAGCAAUGUUUUGAGCUAAAAGAAGAUUAAACUGGAGGUUCUAUUCUACUUUAGACAGAAGUUUGAGAUAAGUACAGGUAAAUGCUUUGCACUUCAGUUUGGUUACACACUGAAAGAUUGCUAAAGGACUAAAUCAAAGUUAUUUGGAAGUGUGGAGUUCAAACUGAAAUCUACUGAGAGUAAAUUAUUAUGAAAGGGGUUUGAUGCAUUCAGUGCUCGGCAAACACGGCGUGGGCAAAAUGAACAACAACGGCCUACUGCUACUUAGUGAAUGCUCAGAGUUCAAACUCACCAUCACAAACACUGUGUUCAGAAUGGUGAACAAAUAUAAAACAACGUGGAUGCACCCACGAUCAAAACAUUGACAACAUCAUUGUACGCCGGCGAGACAUCCAGGAUGUAAAGAUCACCAGAGCCAUGAGAGAAGCUGAAUGCUGGACAGAUCACCAAUUGGUUAGAGUAACUCUUCAAAUGCGCAUUGCGCCUCACCAUCCAAAACACGCCCAGACAGUUCGCGCAUUUUACAACGUGAGUCAUCUUAGAGAUCCAUCUUAUUUGCAAACAUUCGAGUCCUGCCUGGACAACAAGCUAUCUGACAAGGGACCACUCAUUGGAAGCUCAACUGAGUAAUGGAACCAGUUCAGAGACUCAGUGAAGGAAACAUCAAAGGCAGUCCUAGGCCCCAAGCAAUGCGACAAGAACAACACUGCUAUUGAAGACCUAUUGAGCAAAAAGAACAAAGCCUUUAUGGAGCGGCAAAAUAACCCAAACUCUGCUCCUAAAAAGGACAGAUUCAAGUCUCUCCAAGCCACGGUGCAGCGUGAGAUCAGGAAGAUGCAAGACCGAUGGUGGGGAAAAAAGGCAGAAGAAAUCCAGCAUUUUGCUGAUAUGAAAAACUACAAACAAUUUUUCAAUGACCUCAAGACUGUCUAUGGGCCAUUAAAACCCACCACCACUCCCUUGCUAUCCUCUGACGGUGACACUCUCAUAAAAGAUAAAAAAAGGCAUCAGCAACAGGUGGAAAGAACACUUAGGUCAGCUUCCCAACCAACCCUCUUCAGUUGACCAAAGUGCCCUUGACCAGAUACCCCAAAACCGCACCAUUGAACAACUUGACGUCCCUCCUUCAAUAGAGGAAGUCCAAAAAGUCAUUAAACAAAUGAGUGCAGGCAAGGCACCCUGUAAAGACGGGUCCCAACCGAGGUGUACAAGGCCUUAAAUGGAAAGGCGCUCCAGGCAUUCCACAUAGUGCUGACCAGCAUAUGGGAAGAGGAAGACAUGCCCCCAGAACUCAGAGAUGCCUCCAUUGUAGCCCUAUACAAGAACAAAGGCUCACAAGCAGCCUGUGACAACUACAGAGGCAUCUCACUACUCUCCACUGCUGGAAAGAUCCUCGCCCGUGUUAUACUCAACAGACUACUGUCAUCUGUUUCAGAACAGAACCUGCCUGAAUCACAAUGUGGCUUCCAACCAGAUCGCAGCACCAUUGACAUGGUCUUCACGGUGAGGCAAAUGCAGGAAAAAUGCCUUGAACAGAACCUAAGUCUCUACAUUGUCUUCAUAGACCUGACAAAGGCAUUUGACAUAGUGAACAGGGACGCAUUGUGGGUGAUCCUCAGCAAGCUCGGUUGCCCAGCAAAAUUUGUCAAACUAAUCCAGCUUUUUCAUGUCGUCGACAUGACAGGGGAAGUCCUAUCUGGUGGAGAGACUUCUGAUUGCUUCAACAUGGCGCGAAACAAGGCUGUGUCCUCGCUCUGGUACUAUUCAACCUAUUUUUCACCCAGGUAUUACGACAUGCUGUGAUGGAUCUAGACCUGGUCGUCUACAUCAAAUCCCGACUAGAUGGCUCACUAUUCGACCUUUGCUGCCUGACUGCAAAAACAAAGACAACAGAGAGACUCAUCCUGGAAGCUCUCUUUGCAGAUGACUGUGUUCUCAUGGCCCACCAAGAAAAACAUCUUCAAACCAUUGUGGACAGGUCUCCACUGCAACAAAACUGUUUGGCCUGACCUUAAAAGACUGAUAUAUAUUAAUUUAAGGUCGCCAAGGAAUUCAGCUAUGUAAUUCCUAAAUGAAAACUCAAGUCAGCAGUCAACCUUUUUAUGGAGUUUUUAAUUACAAACAGGAGGAAGAAAGGUAUGAGAGAGAGAGAGAGAGAGAGAGAAGGGAAUAGGGCUUAAAUACCCCCUCUAUUUAGGCUGGGCCAAAAGGCCCAAGCCCUUACAUAGCUGAGGCAAAGAAAAGAGAUCAGCCCCUAUCACUCACGUGACCAAAAUGGAGAAACAGUCUCAGGGGCCUCCACCUCCAGCCUCCUUCAGAGCAAAACUUCUCAGAGCACAACCUCUCAGAGCAAAACCUCUCGACCCCCUCUUUCAGUCCUCAGACCCCGCUAUCUUUAAGGAAACCAUCUCAGUUCUCACAUCUACCAAUCACUGUCCAUGUCUUCCCUGUGCCAAUGGUGGCUCUAGCUUAACCCAGGACCGCCCAGAGGUCUGUGGCUUUGCACAUGUCUGUUGAAGGUCAUAUUCUCAAAUAAUUAAAUUUUGAUCUAUGCUGUAGCCCUUCCUAAAUCCUGUUAGGACUGAGUAGGGUGGAGAUUGUAAGUUCCAAGACCUGGUUCUGUCAUUCCAAGUAUCUCUAUUGUAUCAAUUCUAAAAUCAAUCAUGACUCAAAGAACUUCCUGUUCUAUGCUUAAUCAUAGGUCAAAGCCCUUUCCAUUGUUCAGCAAAAGGUUUCUGUCCUAAAGUAAUCUUAAGAAGGGAGGAGAAGGACCCUCCCAUGCCAAGGGGGUUCACAUUCCAAUAGACUAUCAGUAGGAAAUUUUUCAAGUAUGAAAUUUCCCAAUGGUGAAAUUUCCAACAUUAUAAGUCUAAGAAAUUUUAAGGUUUACACUAUCAGCCUCAGCAAAAUAGAGGUGCUGUUCCAACCUGCACCAGGGAGGCCAACGAACCAGCCAUGCAUUACAAUCGACGACACGCAGCUUUCUAACGUCAACACUUUCAAGUACCUGGGCAGCACCAUCGCCAACAACGGGUCCCUAGACCAUGAGAUCAAUGCCAGGAUACAAAAGGCCAGCCAGGCACUCGGGUGGCUAUGCUGCAAAGUCCUCCAACACAGGGGUAUAAGCACUGCGAUGAAGCUCAAAGUGUAUAACGCAGUGGUCCUCAGCUCGCUCCUGUAAGGUUGCGAGACAUGGACACUGUACUGAAAGCACAUGAAACAGUUGGAGCAAUUCCACCAACGCUCCCUCCAGUCAAUCAUGAGGAUCCAAUGGCAGGACCAAAUCACCAAUCAGGAAGUCCUCAACAGAGCCAACUCCACCAGAAUUGAAGUCAUGGUUCUCAAAACCCAGCUACAAUGGUCUGGACACGUCAUCCGCAUGGACCCACAGCGAAUACCAAGACAGGUGAACUGUCAGCUGGACUCAGGAAACAAGGUCGACCAAAGAAAAGAUUCAAGGAUCAGCUAAAGUCCAACUUGAAGUGGGCUGGCAUUACACCAAAGCAACUACAACUUGCUGCCUCUAUCAGAAGCAGCUGGAUUUAACCACAUUAACCCACAUUAACCAUGCCGCCACCACCUUUGAAGAUGAGUGACGUCGACGUCUUGCCACUGCGCGUGAAUGCCGACACCAGGCCACAACCGCACCUCCCGUAACAACUGGCGUCCCAUGCCCCAUGUGCCACAAACUUUGCGCCUCAGCCUUUGGACUUCAAAGCCACAUGAGGGUACAUCAAUAGAUGAUAAUGCACAAAGACAAUAGUCAUUCUCGGUCACCGAGAGACUACCACUAAUAAGCUCACUGGUUAAAGAAGGAUGGGACAAGGCUGUUAAGUAAUAAAAUCUAAAUUUUAGUCAAGCAGCCUUAGGAUAAAUUACUCACAAGCUAUUAACCCCUUCCUUGCACACAGGAAGGAGAAAGAAGUGCUUAUAAUUGUUCCACACUGAUACUUUGGGACUGAAAUAGGGACCUCCAAGAGUUAACAACCACCAUGUGAUAGAACUUAAAGGUGAGUAUAUUUUAAUUGUAUAUUUUGGAGGUUUUAAGGUGCUCAACCAAGCAAACAUUGCUAGCCCUGUCUGACCAAGAAGCUUGUUUGAAGCUGUAGAAUCUUAAUGCAAACAUUCCAUGUCCAGAAUGAUAAAAUGAGUUGAGUGAUAUGUAAUUGAUAAGUUAUCUCACACAAAUUUUGGGGAUAAAUUGGUUGAUAUUUUGAUUACAUUUUGAUCUUUAUACAGAUAUAUUUGGCACAUAGUAGCCAAGGAAUGGGUAGGACAUUAGAAAUGGCAAAUAUGUGAAAAAUGCUUGCUCAGAAUUUUAUCACUAUUAUGUGAGUUGCUGCUAAAAUGUGUGUUUUAAGUAUUGUUUGAAUGAAAACAAAAGCUCAUUGUAAACCUGGCUGUACCAUAGAUUUUGUUCAAUACUCAAUGGUUACCUCAGUUUACCAAUUUGUACUAUGAACUGAAAUUUAUAAUGGAUGAGCCCUAUGCUAAAAAUGCAGUGGUUCAAUGAUGUAAUCCUUUAAAUCAGAAUUCUUUUGGGUUACAUAUUAGCAAUUGAAGUGAUACCAAUGGGAGGUUUGUUUGACUUAAGCAAGUCAGAGAAAGUGGGAAGGUAUGAAGAAAGGGACUUUGAUCUAAAGUCCAUAAAGCUCAAGUAUGUGGUUUUGUAAAGGAAGAAUGGAAGUUGUGUUCUACUUUUUAAGCAGAGGGGUUUUGAAGGAAGAGAGAGAGAGAGGGAGAGAGGGAGAGAAUGAGAGAGAGAGAGAGAGAGAGAGAGAGAGAGAGAGAGAGAGAGAGAGAGAGAGAGAGAGAGAAGGUGAAAGAAAACAUGUUCUGCUCUCAUAAUUGGAUCUUUAACUUAGGGAUAAUAUCUAGCUAGAUUUGAUGUAUGUGUUGUGUGAAAAUCACAUAAUAAUUCUUUAAUUUCUCUGGACAGUUACCCUGAAGUGAUUCCUGUAUGUCCUUGCCUUAGUCUUUCAGAUGGCCUAGGUCCAAGAGAUGAUACAGCUUUGAUUUAUAUUACUAUGGAGCUACUCAAUUCAGCACUCAUGCUCUUUAUUUUAGGUUUUGUGACUAAAGUGUGAUAUGUAAAUUAUUGCCAAAAUACAUAAGAAUAAUUGAGUGAUCAGCCUUGUAGGGAUAUAAAAGGCUUGUUUGAGGGUAUGGAAAUUUGUUUCUGGACUGCUGAUAAGCAGAAGUUCUCUCAGCUGAAAUGGGUGAGACUUGUCUUUUAAGGAAAAAGAAGGCUUCUGGGAUCGAAUGGUGACAAAUACCCAAAGGACAGAGAACAUCCUGGGAUGGUUACAGAGACAUAUUCUGGGCUCACCUGAGAAUGGACCUUUUCUAACCAUCUAUGCUGUUAAUCCUUGAGUGACACAAUGAUGGCAUGAGCCAGUGAUAGCUUUGGCCUGUACAUGAAGCCCUCACUAUGUGUCCCUUGGGACAUGAGGAAAUAUUUUCCCUGUUGGGCCUUUUCCUUUGUGACAAAUUCCCAUAAUCAGCACAUAAUGCCAGUUGUAAAAUUAAAGUUUCCAUUUCCUCAAACAACCUUAAUAAUUGAAAAUUCUUAAAUUGUUAGGGAACAUACUUUGAAAAGUAGGUGAAGUUUAUUAAUAAAUGGCUUGUAUUUGUAGCUUUAAUUUACCACAGUUGAAGUUUAGAUCAUGAGCUUGAAUAUAUAGCUCAAAGCUUUCUUGAAUUUCCCCCAGAAUCUGGGUUAAAGGAAUUCAUCUGUAAAAUAUUGUUACUCAAGUGUUUAUAGAUGUUUAUAGUUAAUUUGUACUUUGCAAAAGGAUAUUCUUUCAACUCAGGAAUCUGAUUUCUUAAAGGGAUCUAUUCCUGUCAGAAGAUGUCUGAAGAAGUCUGUUGGCUAAGAUACCCAAAUGCAAAUGUCUAAUAUCAAUUACUAUUUUACUAAUUUUCUCUGUUUAUAUCUGCUGUUCUAGUUUUUGCCCCAGUACUAGUUUCUACACUACUAUCUUAGGGGAUGACUCUCCCCCUUGUGACCUGUCUGCCAAUUGGGGGAAGCAGUCGCUGGACAUCCUUCAGAUCUCCAAGCAGGUUCCCACCUACCUAGGACCCAGGCAUUCACUGAGGACAUGCCCCUAAAGACCCUGUGCUUAUAGCCUUUCCCUCCCUGUUCAAGUUUUGGCUACUCCCCUAUGGGAUAUGUAUUUGUAUGCAUUUAUAACCUUGUCACUUCUCUAUCUAGGGUAGAAGCACUCAUAGGAGUCACCCUGUUGCCACUGUCAUCCCGGCAACUAUUCCAGCCUGAAGCCCUGGACAGUCAAUACCCCUUUCCUGACAAUAAGCAGGGACAGCUCUACGACCAUUCUCAGCUCUGAAGAAGCUACAGAAUACUGAGGCCAUUUCCCCUUUUCCCUUAGAUAUUUGGAGAAGGGGAGAUGACAUGGGCAUUGUACCCCCAGAAACUCAGGCAAACUAUUAUCAGGGAAAUUCUUCUGCUCCUUUCCAUCCUCAUGACUCCUAGCCUAAGGAUUCUUUGCUUUUAUGCUGAUUAUAUGGGGCUAGUUAAUCGCCUAGUAGCCUUUGUCAAGGAUCACAUUAAUACUGUCUAGCUAUGGCCCUUCACCAACAAUAUCAAACUCUGACUCUUACUAAAUCCCCUUAUGAGAAUAUGGUCAAAGUGGGGAAUGAAGAGCCAACUCCCAAACCCCUUCUUUCCCCUCCCUGACCCCUAACUCCAGGAGAUCCUAUCCCUUCCCCUCCUGACAUAUGCCAGGAGCCAUAAAGACCCUAACCCCAGGAGUUCUUGUCCCUCCCCCUCCUGACAUAUGCCAGGAACUGAUAACACCUCAUCCCUAGGAGUUCCUGUUCAUACUUCCUCCCCAGGAAUUCCUCUGCACUCCCCCUACCACAAAAGUGUAUAAAGCCUGCAAGCCCCAGACCCGGGACCAGUCAUUUUGGGGGCUGAGCCCAAAGUGCACUUUGCUUUAAUAAAACUCUCUCUUGUGUGUUA